This 253-nucleotide ribosomal RNA is filed under the name uncultured bacterium. Its description in RNAcentral is "partial 16S ribosomal RNA". It matches the Rfam family "Bacterial small subunit ribosomal RNA", at positions 524 to 776 of the family's 1533-position model. The record is from RNAcentral.
UACGUAGGAGGCAAGCGUUGUCCGGAUUUACUGGGCGUAAAGAGCGCGUAGGCGGAAGUUUAAGCGGUGCCUGAAAGCCCCCGGCUCAGCCGGGGAGGGUGGUGCCGAACUGGGCUUCUUGAGGGCGAUAGAGGAGAGUGGAAUUCCGGGUGUAGCGGUGAAAUGCGUAGAGAUCCGGAGGAACACCAGUGGCGCAGGCGGCUCUCUGGGUCGACCCUGACGCUGAGGCGCGAAAGCGUGGGGAGCGAACGGG